GCCGGGCGCGGUGGCUCACGCCUGUCAUCCCAGCACUUUGGGAGGCUGAGGCGGGUGGAUCACCUGAGGUCAGGAGUUCGAGGCCAGCCUGACCAACAUGGUGAAACCCCGUCUCUA
This 117-nucleotide small RNA is filed under the name Papio anubis (olive baboon). RNAcentral describes it as "Metazoan signal recognition particle RNA (ENSPANG00000046053.1)". The record is from RNAcentral. Lineage: Eukaryota; Metazoa; Chordata; Mammalia; Primates; Cercopithecidae.